GGAAUCUGACUGAUCAUCCAUACCAGAGUACUGUACACAUACAUAAAGUUCCUUCAAAAUGGAUUACUUUUUGGAUGUCGAGUCUGCUCACAGACUGUUUUACAGUCAAGGAGCCCAAGCUCGUCGGGCAACUCUUCUCACCGUGCCCACUCUGAUGACAGCAUCUUCUGAGGAUGACAUAGACCGGAGACCCAUCAGAAGACUCCGGUCUAAGAGUGACACCCCUUACUUGGAAGAAGCUAGGAUCUGCUUCAACCUUGAUAAUGGU
Non-coding RNA from Opisthocomus hoazin, 268 nucleotides. The record is from RefSeq and is a predicted model, not a curated record. NCBI's taxonomy places the organism in Eukaryota, Metazoa, Chordata, Aves, Opisthocomiformes, Opisthocomidae.